RNAcentral lists this ribosomal RNA (1113 nucleotides) under Dipteromimus tipuliformis. RNAcentral's name for it is "partial 16S ribosomal RNA". The record is from RNAcentral. Lineage: Eukaryota; Metazoa; Arthropoda; Insecta; Ephemeroptera; Dipteromimidae.
GGUAAUUUAGUCUUAUACUCACUAUUAAUGGAUCAUAAACCUAUUCAUCAAUAUUACUAAUCAAGAAGAGUUUAUUUUAUCUCCCCGUCACCCCAACCAAACAAUUUUAAGUAAAACCCAACCCUACCCUAAAUAGAUUUAUUACCCAUAAUUGUCAAACUCUAUAGGGUCUUCUCGUCCUCCAAUCUUAUUUAAGCCUUUUGACUAAAAAGUUAAAUUAUACCACAAUCUCCAUGAGACAGUAAACACCUCGUCCAACCAUUCAUACCAGCCCCUAAUUAAGAGACUAAUGAUUAUGCUACCUUUGCACGGUCAAAAUACCGCGGCCCUUCAAUUUUCAGCGGGCAGGCUAGACCUCCUACAUUUACAAGAAGCGAUGUUUUUGAUAAACAGGCGAGCAUCCAUUUGCCGAAUUCCUUACAGAGACCUUCCUAUAUUAAUUAACUAUUACAUUCCACUAUAUUAAUUUCAUCAUUAUUACCCAUUGUCUUCUAUUACCAAUGACACUUUGAUAUAUAAACUAAACCCAUUAAAAUUAAACCGCCCCUAAGUAAACUAUAACGUUAUUAUUUGAUGACUGAUUUCAAGUCUACCCCCUUAAGUAACUAAAUCUGUUAUAGUUCUGUCCUUAAGCUUAUCCCUCAAGACAUUAGCAAUUAACCCCUAAAUCAAUUAUCACUAAUCAAAAUAACACUAUUGCCUGAAUUAAAUUCAUUUCUCAAAGAACUAGAAACCUAUAAAUUCGCCUAACAUUUCAUUUCUAAAGAAGUAUGUUUAAGAAAUUUGCCAUUUUAACUAAAUUACCUCUUUAGCCCACUUAAAAUCGAGAAAACAAAAUCUUUCACUCCAUUUAAUAAACCCUGAUACACAAGGUACAACACUAAAUCUACUUUUCAUUAAAUUACUUUUCACUUAUUUCACCCUUCCUUCUCAGUACUACCCUUAUUACUUACUUUAUGAUUUCAUUACCCAAUACUCCCACUAAUCUCUUAAUAUUGAUUUACCCAGUCAAUUUAAAUUCACUAACCCUAUCAAUUAUGUUACCUCUCAAAAUAAAUUGAAUUGCACAAUAACUUCUCAAUGUAAAUGAAAUGCUUUACUCCUCAAGCUCUA